AGUGAACGCUGGCGGUAGGCCUAACACAUGCAAGUCGAACGGCAGCACAGUAAGAGCUUGCUCUUACGGGUGGCGAGUGGCGGACGGGUGAGGAAUACAUCGGAAUCUACUUUUUCGUGGGGGAUAACGUAGGGAAACUUACGCUAAUACCGCAUACGACCUACGGGUGAAAGCAGGGGAUCUUCGGACCUUGCGCGAUUGAAUGAGCCGAUGUCGGAUUAGCUAGUUGGCGGGGUAAAGGCCCACCAAGGCGACGAUCCGUAGCUGGUCUGAGAGGAUGAUCAGCCACACUGGAACUGAGACACGGUCCAGACUCCUACGGGAGGCAGCAGUGGGGAAUAUUGGACAAUGGGCGCAAGCCUGAUCCAGCCAUACCGCGUGGGUGAAGAAGGCCUUCGGGUUGUAAAGCCCUUUUGCUGGGAAAGAAAAGCAGCAGGUUAAUACCCCGCUGUUCUGACGGUACCCAAUGAAUAAGCACCGGCUAACUUCGUG
Molecule: ribosomal RNA, 492 nt
Filed under: uncultured bacterium
Lineage: Bacteria
Description: partial 16S ribosomal RNA
Rfam family: Bacterial small subunit ribosomal RNA
Source: RNAcentral